AUGCCAUGGAGGCCAAGGACCAGAGGGGAAACCCUUCUCCCACCUAGGGAGAAGGGCAAGGAAGAAGAAGAAGGAGGGGGGCUCUCCCCCCCUCGCUUCCGAUGGCGCCGGAACGCCGCCGGGGGCCAUCAUCAUCACCGCAAUCGUCACCAACACCUAUGCCAUCUUCACCAACAUCUCCAUCACUUUCCCCCCUUUAUCUACAGCGGUCCACUCUCCCGCAACCCGCUGUACCCUCUACUUGAACAUGGUGCUUUAUGCUUCAUAUUAUUAUCCAAUGAUGUAUUGCCAUCCUAUGAUGUCUGA
RNAcentral lists this ribosomal RNA (306 nucleotides) under Triticum aestivum (bread wheat). Its description in RNAcentral is "partial small subunit ribosomal RNA". The record is from RNAcentral. Lineage: Eukaryota; Viridiplantae; Streptophyta; Magnoliopsida; Poales; Poaceae.